CUGGUCCCAUUCCGAACCCAGAAGCUAAGACUCUUCGCGCCGAUGGUACUGCACUUUUGUGGGUGUGGGAGAGUAGGUCGUUGCCGGUU
This 89-nucleotide ribosomal RNA is filed under the name Rothia mucilaginosa. The record is from RNAcentral. Lineage: Bacteria; Bacillati; Actinomycetota; Actinomycetes; Micrococcales; Micrococcaceae.